CCUACGGGAGGCAGCAGUGAGGAAUAUUGGUCAAUGGACGCUAGCCUGAACCAGCCAAGUAGCGUGAAGGAUGACUGCUCUAGGGGUUGUAAACUUCUUUUAUAUGGGAAUAAAGUGCAGUAUGUAUACUGCUUUGCAUGUACCUUAUGAAUAAGGAUCGGCUAACUCCGUGCCAGCAGCCGCGGGAAUACGGAUGCUCCGAGCGUUAGCCGGAUUUAUUGGGUUUAAAGGGAGCGUAGGCGGGUUGUUAAGGUAGUUGUGAAAGUUUGCGGCUCAAACGUAAAAUUGCAGUUGAUACUGGCAGCCUUGAGUACAGUAGAGGUAGGCGGAAUUCGUGGUGUAGCGGUGAAAUGCUUAGAUAUCACGAAGAACUCCGAUGGCGAAGGCAGCCUGCUGGACUGUAACUGACGCUGAUGCUCGAAAGUGUGGGUAUCAAACAGGAUUAGAUACCCUUGUAGUC
This 460-nucleotide ribosomal RNA is filed under the name uncultured bacterium. RNAcentral's name for it is "partial 16S ribosomal RNA". It matches the Rfam family "Bacterial small subunit ribosomal RNA", at positions 338 to 795 of the family's 1533-position model. The record is from RNAcentral.